GAUGAACGCUAGCGGCAGGCCUAACACAUGCAAGUCGAGGGGUAGAAGGAGCUUGCUCCUUUGAGACCGGCGCACGGGUGCGUAACGCGUAUGCAAUCUACCUUUUGCAGAGGGAUAGCCCAGAGAAAUUUGGAUUAAUACCUCAUAGUAUGUGAGGAUGGCAUCAUUUUCACAUUAAAGUCACAACGGCAAAAGAUGAGCAUGCGUCCCAUUAGCUAGUUGGUAAGGUAACGGCUUACCAAGGCUACGAUGGG
RNAcentral lists this ribosomal RNA (254 nucleotides) under uncultured bacterium. Its description in RNAcentral is "partial 16S ribosomal RNA". It matches the Rfam family "Bacterial small subunit ribosomal RNA", at positions 28 to 283 of the family's 1533-position model. The record is from RNAcentral.